GAGAGAGAGAGAGAGAGAGAUGGGAAAAAACUGCAGUUUCAUUUCAGGAAUAUCACCAGCUAUCAUGUGUAAGAAACAAUUAUAUUAUAACGUUUGAACAUUUGAACGUCUUGUAGACUUGUAACCUAUGAUUUCCCUGUGACAGUGAACGAAAAAACAUCCAUGUUUUUUUACACAGAUUUUUUAACUCAGUAUUUUGAUAACUGGCCUAAUGAAGUGGAAGGUGUCUUGCUCGUCAGAGAGUGGAAGGUGUCUUGCUCGUCAGAGAGUGGAAUGUGUCUUGCUCGUCAGAGAGUGGAAUGUGUCUUGCUCGUCAGAGAGUGGAAGGUGUCUUGCUCGUCAGAGAGUGGAAGGUGUCUUGCUCGCCAGAGAGUGGAAGGUGUCUUGCUCGUCAGAGAGUGGAAGGUGUCUUGCUCGUCAGAGAGUGGACAACUUUGCUGAUAUUAUUGUUUGAAAUGGCUUUGAGCUGUUUCAAGUUUGUUUGUUGGUUUGGUUUGGGGUUUUUUUUGUGAACUUGUAAAGUG
Long non-coding RNA from Aplysia californica (California sea hare), 524 nucleotides. RefSeq lists it as uncharacterized. The transcript has 2 exons. NCBI's taxonomy places the organism in Eukaryota, Metazoa, Mollusca, Gastropoda, Aplysiida, Aplysiidae. The record is from RefSeq and is a predicted model, not a curated record.